GUGAACGGCAUGGGGUGUUCGCUGCGGUUGGAGUCUCUCGAACCGCUCUACCACCUCGUUCCCACGCCUCCAAAGCACAUCGAGCCCCUGUCCGACGAGGUCCUGGGAACGAUCGCGGCCGUCGGAGAUCGGUUGGGAAUCGAGCUCGUGCCGGAAA
Molecule: non-coding RNA, 157 nt
Filed under: Pseudo-nitzschia fraudulenta
Lineage: Eukaryota; Bacillariophyta; Bacillariophyceae; Bacillariales; Bacillariaceae
Source: RNAcentral